RNA transcript from Lemur catta (Ring-tailed lemur), 3647 nucleotides. RefSeq lists it as uncharacterized. The transcript is spliced from 5 exons. Lineage: Eukaryota; Metazoa; Chordata; Mammalia; Primates; Lemuridae. The record is from RefSeq and is a predicted model, not a curated record.
CGAGUGCUGCCACGGGGACACGCACAGAUCCCUGGAGCAAGCGUCGGGGGAGUAGCUUCUCCAAGCUGAUGGGAGAUUCCUGGAUUGAGUCCUGAAAGAUGACCUGGAAGAGGUAACCAUUUCUGCAUUUAAAACCCAUGCUUCAGGGCAAGAAACCCUCAUCCUUCCUGGGGGGACGGAGAACGUCCAUCAGACGUCAGAUGGGCCUCCGUGCUCGCUGGCCAGCUGUAUCCACCAUGCCUUCUUUCUUCCAGAGAGGCAACAGAACAGCCAAACACGAUUUGCUCAGGAAAUCUCUGGACAUUCAGGAAGGUUGACGGGGCAGCCCACCCAGCAAGAGCAUCGGUGGCCACACUACAAACCAGGUGGGGGCCCUACCUUCCCCUCCCACUCUCCCCACAGGCUCAUCCUGGGACUAUCAUCAAUCCACCCUCUGCUGUUCCAUCUGACUCCAGGAUAUCCUGGGUGCUGGUACCCUAAUAAAAAAUACUAACCUUGAUCUACUGCAAGCAGCUGGAGAACUCUCACAAGGCAGUUGUGACAAUAUUGAAAAUAACUGCCAAUCACAACUACAGGCCUUAAAGAAGUUCCUGAAGCCAAAAUGUAAAUCAGUCUUCUGUCCUUUCAUUACUUGUUUCUUCCCGAAUUGCUAUGUGUAAAUCAAGGUUUUUCAGCUGUCCAGGCACUCAGUAUUUAGAUGGAUUCUGGCACAAGGUCAAAUGUCACACACAACAGUGAGACCUGGAAGAGUCUGCAAGACGUUUUUCCUCAGGUAAGGUGCAGAGGUAUGUUGUCUAAGGUAAUGAUGUGCCUCACUCACCUGAAUGUUUAUUCACACAUGAUUGGGUAUUGCCAACCUAAGAUACCAGGCACCAGAUUUCUAUUUUAAUAUUAUCAAGAGCAGCAAAAAGAUACAAUGAACUCACAGGGAACAGGAAUGGUAGAGUAUGCUGAACUCUCCUGAAACACCUCAUUUCUCUUGAAUUUCUCCCUAGACUGGGGCUGGAAGGGCACAGCCUGGAGCAGACCCUGGGCUUUGCAUCCUGUUCUACCGUGCAGCAGCCACGUGGCCUUGUGCAUCUACUUUGUGCCUCACUUUCUCCAUCUGUAAAAUGGGGAUGAUGGCAGGACCCACCUCACGGGGUUGUGACGGGGAACAAGUGAGGACACAAAGCUCGGGGCCUGCGGCAGGAGAAUCUGCAUUCCUGGUGCCUGGCACAUCGUGGCAGUUCAAUAAAUGCUCAGUGACUGAGAGGACAGACGCGAGACAUCGGUGGAGGGCCACACUGAAUGUGAGAACUCCAGCUGACGGCAGUUUGACUGACUUCCAGGGAAAUUCCUUCUUUAUUGCAAGCACAGCCCCAAAGGCACUGGACAGCUUCCUCGCCGCCGUCUCACCCGGUAGUUCCAGUAUUGCUAUCAGCAAACGCGUUUGCUCCCUGCAGGGUCCGGGAGCCACGUAAGAGCACAGGGCACAGAACAAGGGUUGCUGGGACCGGGGAGCCUUCGCACCUGCUGCCUGGCAUGCAGAGCGCCCCGAGCUCGGGACACCACCCUCGGAGUGUACUGUGGCUCACUGCCUUGCUAAGCGCGGCUUCGGUGUGUUCCCGCUGCGCCCGAUGUCUUUUUAACGAGGGGUUCUGUUGGCAUGAACAAUUUGAACAGGCUAGCGCUGUCGCCAAUUGAAAAGGAAUAAAGUGAACAAGCUCAUCCCUGUCCCCUCCCCUUCUCUAAAACUGGCUGGGAUGGGGGGUGGCUGGAGCAGGGGCGUGAGGGCCUGGAUGGCAACGGGAAACCAACCAACUGACCGACCCAAACAGAAAGAUAGACUAGGCAGAGGGGGCCGACCAGGGCGACCCACUGGCAGGGCAGAGCCUCUGCGCAGAGCCAGGUGGGUGCGCUGCUGGGCCGGCCUGACUGCUGGGCUCUGGGGAGGUGAGUGGCACCGAAGCCUGGAGCUGGUGGGCUGCAGGGCCGCGGGCACCGACGUCACUGCAGGGCUCUGACGAGGUAGAGCUUCUCCCCAUGCUCGCUGGUGAAGAUGGGCGCCUUUUUGUAGUGUUCCACCAGCUCGUCCAUGGUGUGGAAUCGUCGCUGCCCAAUGCAGUAGACAUUGUCCACGAGCUGCACCUUGAAAUGUUUGUUCUUCCCUGACGCUUUCAGAGACACGGAGAAGUCACUGGGCUGCAGAGGAAACAGAACACGAGUGACAACCGGGCACGGCAGGAGAGGUCUGUCCCUGCGUGACUACCAACUAUUUUGGGUGCAACCAUCUGAAUCUUCCACUUAACUAAAUCCACACCACCCUUCGCUCAGACGUCUGGGCUUCUGUUGACCAGCUACUAGGGCAUCUGAUGUUCAGAAUGACCCGGAUGCAGCCCAAGACUCUGAAGUUCUGCAUUGGAGACAAGUCUGAGUUGGCUUAGCUCAGUGUCAGCACUAAAUGCAUUUUAGUUAUUUGAGCAGUGGACACUCAUUGUGGAAUGUACAACACCUGUGCUAACCUGGGUGCUCAAGAAGCUUGAAUUUUUUCAUUUCCCAAACUAUUUUUGGAGGAAUAAAGUCCAUCCUGGGAAUUUAAUAAGACAGGAAGUCAUUUUCCAAAUGGAAUCUGAGGACAAUUAACAGGUUGGUAGAAAAUCAGCCUCUCUCAGGGCCUCUGUCAUUGUUUUUGUUUAGGUCUUAGGUCCCCUAUUUGAAUAUAACCCCUCUAAGUGCAAGAACAAGGUUUAACUCCACAGUGCCAUACUGGGCACAGAGUUCCAUGUGUUCAAUGAAUAUGCUCACUUACGAAUCCCUGAUUUUAACCACUGCUUCCACUGCUCAUUGCUCUAGGUAAUUCUUACAUCUCAUCGCCUUGCAAUUCUGCUCAUAACAAGUGGGUACUUUUAGGGAACACCAGAAAAUAACGCUCUUUGGUACUAUUUCUUCAGCUUCAUCAACUUGAUCCGUUGCCUCAAAUACUUGCUCAAAAGCACCUUUGUGUUUUCACGAAACAGAUGCCCUGAUCAGAUCCGUCUCUCCUUUGCUUGAGAUGUAAUCAUCAUUUCUUCAUAGAGGGAAAGAAUGGAUGCCGAGAACAGUCUUUAAUAUCCUUUAUUUCUUCCUCCAUCUCUGGAAUGCUUAAGUGUUAAUGUGAUUUUCUGAUUUUCUUCUAAGCACAAUGGCCAUGAGGAAAUGAGAGGGGAGGGAUGGUCCUUGCUCCAGGUACUCCUGGUUCUUUAAUAACCUUUUCCUUAUCUUUCACUUUGACUCUAUGAAAAGACCAGAGUAGAAAUGCUCUUUGUUGCGACCCACCAGGCCUCCUGUGCAGACUCUGGACACAUCUCUGGUCACACUGGCGUCUGCAAGCAUCCACAGUCUGCAGAGAUAUUUAACACUUCCUCCAUACCCAAAGAGGGGUCAUCGUACUGGCUUCUUAUCAAAAGCUGUAUCAUUCUUUCCUUUUGGUAAAUGGGUAUUUUUCUCUUUUUAUUUUUUUACCGAAGGCACUCUUCUGCCUAGGGAAUGGAUUCAUUUACCAAAAAAAUUUCAGAAUCAAUGGAUUAGAGGCGAAUUGUGUUCCGUCGAUUAAUAGUUUCUCUGUUGUUAUCUCAGAAAAACCACCUUUCAGUUUUACCUAUUAGGUCACCCUCCCUAGGUGUCUA